CGCCUCUUGCAAAAUCAAUAAAUAAGAGGUCCCGCCUGCCCUGUGACUAUAUGUUUAACGGCCGCGGUAUUUUGACCGUGCGAAGGUAGCGCAAUCACUUGUCUUUUAAAUGGAGACCUGUAUGAAUGGCAUAACGAGGGUCUAACUGUCUCCUUUUUCAAGUCAAUGAAAUUGAUCUUCCCGUGCAGAAGCGGGAAUAACCUCAUAAGACGAGAAGACCCUAUGGAGCUUUAGACAAAAAGCAGGCCAUGUUAAGCACCCUUAAAUAAAAGACCAAACUCGAUGUUUACUGCCCUAAUGUCUUUGGUUGGGGUGACCGCGGCGAAACAAAUAACCCCCGUGUAGAAAGAGGACUCCCUCCUUCAAACCAAGAGUUCCCACUCAAAUAAACAGAAUAUCUGACUAAACAGGAUCCGGCAAUGCCGAUCAACGGACCGAGUUACCCUAGGGAUAACAGCGCAAUCCCCUUCUAGAGCCCAUAUCGACAAGGGGGUUUACGACCUCGAUGUUGGAUCAGGACAUCCUAAUGGUGCAGCCGCUAUUAAGGGUUCGUUUGUUCAACGAUCAAAGUCCU
Molecule: ribosomal RNA, 574 nt
Filed under: Chaetodon meyeri (scrawled butterflyfish)
Lineage: Eukaryota; Metazoa; Chordata; Actinopteri; Chaetodontiformes; Chaetodontidae
Also listed under: 1 other name
Description: partial 16S ribosomal RNA
Rfam family: Bacterial large subunit ribosomal RNA
Source: RNAcentral